UGGAUCCAGCUUUGAUCAUGGCUCAGGACGAACGCUGGCGGCGUGCCUAAUACAUGCAAGUCGAGCGAGCUUGCCUAGAUGAUUUUAGUGCUUGCACUAAAUGAAACUAGAUACAAGCGAGCGGCGGACGGGUGAGUAACACGUGGGUAACCUGCCCAAGAGACUGGGAUAACACCUGGAAACAGAUGCUAAUACCGGAUAACAACACUAGACGCAUGUCUAGAGUUUGAAAGAUGGUUCUGCUAUCACUCUUGGAUGGACCUGCGGUGCAUUAGCUAGUUGGUAAGGUAACGGCUUACCAAGGCAAUGAUGCAUAGCCGAGUUGAGAGACUGAUCGGCCACAUUGGGACUGAGACACGGCCCAAACUCCUACGGGAGGCAGCAGUAGGGAAUCUUCCACAAUGGACGAAAGUCUGAUGGAGCAACGCCGCGUGAGUGAAGAAGGGUUUCGGCUCGUAAAGCUCUGUUGGUAGUGAAGAAAGAUAGAGGUAGUAACUGGCCUUUAUUUGACGGUAAUUACUUAGAAAGUCACGGCUAACUACGUGCCAGCAGCCGCGGUAAUACGUAGGUGGCAAGCGUUGUCCGGAUUUAUUGGGCGUAAAGCGAGUGCAGGCGGUUCAAUAAGUCUGAUGUGAAAGCCUUCGGCUCAACCGGAGAAUUGCAUCAGAAACUGUUGGACUUGAGUGCAGAAGAGGAGAGUGGAACUCCAUGUGUAGCGGUGGAAUGCGUAGAUAUAUGGAAGAACACCAGUGGCGAAGGCGGCUCUCUGGUCUGCAACUGACGCUGAGGCUCGAAAGCAUGGGUAGCGAGCAGGAUUAGAUACCCUGGUAGUCCAUGCCGUAAACGAUGAGUGCUAAGUGUUGGGAGGUUUCCGCCUCUCAGUGCUGCAGCUAACGCAUUAAGCACUCCGCCUGGGGAGUACGACCGCAGGGUUGCAAC
Molecule: ribosomal RNA, 939 nt
Filed under: uncultured Bacillota bacterium
Lineage: Bacteria; Bacillati; Bacillota
Description: bacterial SSU rRNA
Rfam family: Bacterial small subunit ribosomal RNA
Source: RNAcentral